RNAcentral lists this ribosomal RNA (253 nucleotides) under uncultured bacterium. RNAcentral describes it as "partial 16S ribosomal RNA". It matches the Rfam family "Bacterial small subunit ribosomal RNA", at positions 524 to 776 of the family's 1533-position model. The record is from RNAcentral.
UACGUAUGGUGCAAGCGUUAUCCGGAUUUACUGGGCGUAAAGGGAGCGCAGGCGGCGCGCCAAGUCUGAUGUGAAACCCCGGGGCUCAACCCCGGGCAUGCAUUGGAAACUGGCGGGCUGGAGUGCCGGAGAGGUAAGCGGAAUUCCUAGUGUAGCGGUGAAAUGCGUAGAUAUUAGGAGGAACGCCAGUGGCGAAGGCGGCUUACUGGACGGCAACUGACGCUGAGGCUCGAAAGCGUGGGGAGCAAACAGG